UUUACUGUCUCUUACUUCCAAUCCGUGAAAUUGACCUUCCCGUGAAGAGGCGGGAAUACAACAAUAAGACGAGAAGACCCUAUGGAGCUUUAAUUAACCGACCCAAAGAGACCCAUUAAUUUAACCGACAGGAACAACAAACCUCUGUAUGGGCCGACAAUUUAGGUUGGGGUGACCUCGGAGAACAGAACAACCUCCGAGUGAUUUAAAUCAAGACUAACCAGUCGAAAGUAUUACAUCACUUAUUGAUCCAAAAGUUUGAUCAACGGAACAAGUUACCCUAGGGAUAACAGCGCAAUCCUUUUUCAAAGUCCAUAUCGACAAUAGGGUUU
RNAcentral lists this ribosomal RNA (332 nucleotides) under Puma concolor (puma). RNAcentral describes it as "partial large subunit ribosomal RNA". It matches the Rfam family "Bacterial large subunit ribosomal RNA", at positions 2012 to 2519 of the family's 2925-position model. The record is from RNAcentral. Lineage: Eukaryota; Metazoa; Chordata; Mammalia; Carnivora; Felidae.